RNAcentral lists this long non-coding RNA (718 nucleotides) under Elaeis guineensis (African oil palm). Its description in RNAcentral is "long non-coding RNA (EGUI_LNC046023)". Lineage: Eukaryota; Viridiplantae; Streptophyta; Magnoliopsida; Arecales; Arecaceae. The record is from RNAcentral.
CUGCCCGUGAAACUGAAUCGACUCAGUCUCAGACUGAAUUGACUCAGUCUGACUAAAUCGACUCUAACUAAAAUUGAGUCGACUCACCUGCACGUCAGCCUAAAAAAUUUUAAAACAUAUAUUUCUAUUUGGCUCCUUCUUUGAGACAUAGUCGAUUCAGUCUUAGUCUGAGUCGAUUAAGACCCUGAAACUGCUUCUUUCCUGCAAUCUUCAUCCUUGGCUCUGGUUCCUUACUCCACCUUAUGUCCCCAAGUCUCUGAAGUACCAAUCAAGCCCCUCAAAAUCCUCAACAUCUGGACCUCAAGCCCAUGGAAAGCUAUAUGCAUCCACCCCUAAAACUACUCCUGUCCUAGUCCUAGGACCAUACUUAUCUUAGUCUUUCGAAGUCAACACCCUGACUCCUCUUGUGGCCUCUCAAGAUUUGAAAGCACCACACCAACUCCUACACUUCUCGAACUAGCCAUUGACGGAUGCGAGAAGUGAAUGAAAAUAUUAAGAAAAUGGAAUACAAAAAGGGAAGGAGAACAAUCAGCCCGAAAAAUCAAAGAAAAUAAGGAAAAGGAGAAGGAAACCAACCUAUGACUGCACAGAAGGUGGAGACAAUGGGUCAAAAAGAAGCUGCCGGCAAUCCGAAAGGACUCUCAAAGCAGCAAGAUGACCGAAAGGGCUCUUGAAGCACGGAGGCUAAUCAGAGAAGAAAGGAAGAGGAAUGUUAUGA